AUGCAUAUACAAUUUGGGUUGUGGUUGCUGCGUAUCUGUUUCAAAUGGGUUAUGGGCUCUUCUCACACUUUCAGGUCAAAGGGGACUUUGGAAUCCAUAGUGUAUCUAUGUAUGCAUAUAUGAUCAUGGAUCAGCCUUCCCAUUUCUGUCACUGUGUCCCUAUAUGGUUCAUUAUCAUGUAUGUUACUUCACUCGAAGGCCAUACACAAUCCAAACAAAACAAAACACAGAAACUGUGUUGGCUAUUUUGACUUUCUGUUGAAACUAUUCUCUUUGGUCAUAUAUAUAUUUAAAAAAUAUUUUAUAUAUAUAUAUUUUUAAAAAAUAUUUUUUAUAUAUAUAUAUAUAUUUUUUUUUUUUCAAGUGAUUACCCUGCCUCAGCCUCCCAAGUAGCUGGGAUUACAGGCACCUGCCAUCAUGCCCGGCUAAAUUUUUUUUGUGUGUGUAUUUUUGUAGAUACAGGGUUUCACCAUUUUAGCCAGGCUCGUCUUCAACUCCUGAUCUCAGGUGAUCCGCCGGCCUCAGCCUCCCAGAUUGCUGGGAUUACAGGCGUGGGCCACCACCUAAGAUAUAUGUAUAUAUAUAUAUGUAAUCUUUUUCAGUAUAUUCUCAGGGUGUGUUUGAGGAAACCUUUUUUUUUUUUUUUUUUUUUUGGCCAUUGUCCAAGGGUUUAGAACUGAAUGGGAAUGUCUGUAAAUGGAUCUGAUGGAGGUUGGAAUGUGUAUCAGCUUUUAAUCAUCACUGUAACAAAUUACUAAAACAUUCUCUUUAUUAUCUCUCACUUUAGAAGUGUGGGAGGGCUGGACUGAUGACUCUGCUUAUAGUCUUACAAGGACAAAAUCAAGGUGCUCUUGGGCUCCUUAUGAAGGCCCUAGGGCAGAAUGUGUGUCCAAGCACAUACAGGUUAGAGCAGAAUUCAACUUCUUGUAGUUGUAGGAGUGAGGUCCCAAUUCAUCACUGGCUGGUAGUUGGGGCCUCUCAGCAAUGUCAGGCUGCCUGCGUUGCUCUUCAUAGUGCCCAGUUUAUUUUCUAAACCAGCAAUGGUGCAGAGAGACAUUCUCCUGCUUCUAGUUUCUCUGGCUUCCCCUCACCCACACCUCUCUUCUGUGUCUCUUCUGCCUCCAACCAGAGUUAAAUCUCUUAAGUGCUCAUGUGAUUACAUGGAGCCCACUGCAUGAAUCACGAUCAUCUCCUAAGGUCUGCAACCUUAAUUACAUCUGCAAAAUCCCUUAUGUGAUGUAACAUAUUCAGUUUCCAGGGCAUCUUGGAGAGUCAUUCUCAUUCUUGCUGCCACAAAAUAUUCCUCAUUCCUUCAUGAAAUGUUGUUUGCUUUCAUAUAUUUGUCUCUAGAGAAGCAUCAGGUAUUUUCUCUUUGAGAUUUUCUAUUGCUUAUUUCAUUAGUUUCUUUCUGGACCUAUUCCAUCUGGGCUAGCAAUUCUGAAAACAAAGUAGUGUGGAUCAAACUCUGUCAUCUGUUUCUGUCACACAGAUUACAGCCCUCAUCCUGAAGGAGGGACAGAUUUCAGUCCCAUCCUAAUAAAAAAAAAAUCUCUGUUCCGUUUACUGUUUUCUUCUACUUGGUUUGGAAAAAUUUUGUUAGAGGCAAUUGUCGAUACCACAUAUGGCUGAGAGCAGGUAUAGGAGGUAUCCUGGUACUCAUACUUGGAAACCCUUAAUUUGGCAUCAUCCUCAGCACAUGAAAUUUCUCAGAUCACUAACAAUCUUGGACCGAUGAUGAUUCCUUAAGCCAACUUCGUUCUUCUGAAAAGGCUGGCGGGCAUGGCUGCAUUUUUCUGAGGACUCCUAUGUUAUCAUCCACUCAAGAUACACCAAGGCAUUAACUA
RNAcentral lists this long non-coding RNA (1844 nucleotides) under Homo sapiens (human). RNAcentral describes it as "long non-coding RNA NONHSAT131365.2". The record is from RNAcentral. Lineage: Eukaryota; Metazoa; Chordata; Mammalia; Primates; Hominidae.